This 242-nucleotide long non-coding RNA is filed under the name Elaeis guineensis (African oil palm). Its description in RNAcentral is "long non-coding RNA (EGUI_LNC020991)". Lineage: Eukaryota; Viridiplantae; Streptophyta; Magnoliopsida; Arecales; Arecaceae. The record is from RNAcentral.
ACCCUAGAAGAUCCUAACUCUCGAAAGACAGAGAAGAAAGUUAUUAUAUUCUUUUUUUUUAUUUUUAUGCAAAUAUGUUAGCAGACAAGUUAUAUAAAAAAUACUCCUAACUAAGGUUAAUCCUGUGUAAAGACAGCUCCUAACUUUCAAGUUAGUUUUUUAGCACUCCAAGUUCAGAACUGACUAAUCAAGUCGACCAGAUAAGGAUAAGAUCAGUAGGAGGCUUUUCAUAUUUUUGCAAC